ACGUAGGUGGCGAGCGUUGUCCGGAUUUACUGGGCGUAAAGGGAGCGUAGUCGGAUUUUUAAGUGGGAUGUGAAAUACCCGGGCUCAACCUGGGUGCUGCAUUCCAAACUGGGAAUCUAGAGUGCAGGAGGGGAGAGUGGAAUUCCUAGUGUAGCGGUGAAAUGCGUAGAGAUUAGGAAGAACACCAGUGGCGAAGGCGACUCUCUGGACUGUAACUGACGCUGAGGCUCGAAAGCGUGGGGAGCGAACAGGAUUAGAUACCCUGGUAGUCCACGCCGUAAACGAUGAAUACUGGGUGUAGGGGUUUCAACACCUCUGUGCCGCCGCUAACGCAUUAAGUAUUCCGCCUGGGGAGUACGGUCGCAAGAUUA
This 371-nucleotide ribosomal RNA is filed under the name uncultured bacterium. RNAcentral's name for it is "bacterial SSU rRNA". It matches the Rfam family "Bacterial small subunit ribosomal RNA", at positions 525 to 896 of the family's 1533-position model. The record is from RNAcentral.